GCCAACGAGUGGCGGACGGGUGAGUAACACGUAGGUAACCUGCCCAGAAGCGGGGGACAACAUUUGGAAACAGAUGCUAAUACCGCAUAACAACGUUGUUCGCAUGAACAACGCUUAAAAGAUGGCUUCUCGCUAUCACUUCUGGAUGGACCUGCGGUGCAUUAGCUUGUUGGUGGGGUAACGGCCUACCAAGGCGAUGAUGCAUAGCCGAGUUGAGAGACUGAUCGGCCACAAUGGGACUGAGACACGGCCCAUACUCCUACGGGAGGCAGCAGUAGGGAAUCUUCCACAAUGGGCGCAAGCCUGAUGGAGCAACACCGCGUGAGUGAAGAAGGGUUUCGGCUCGUAAAGCUCUGUUGUUAAAGAAGAACACGUAUGAGAGUAACUGUUCAUACGUUGACGGUAUUUAACCAGAAAGUCACGGCUAACUACGUGCCAGCAGCCGCGGUAAUACGUAGGUGGCAAGCGUUAUCCGGAUUUAUUGGGCGUAAAGAGAGUGCAGGCGGUUUUCUAAGUCUGAUGUGAAAGCCUUCGGCUUAACCGGAGAAGUGCAUCGGAAACUGGAUAACUUGAGUGCAG
This 579-nucleotide ribosomal RNA is filed under the name Limosilactobacillus fermentum. RNAcentral describes it as "bacterial SSU rRNA". It matches the Rfam family "Bacterial small subunit ribosomal RNA", at positions 87 to 651 of the family's 1533-position model. Lineage: Bacteria; Bacillati; Bacillota; Bacilli; Lactobacillales; Lactobacillaceae. The record is from RNAcentral.